GGGGCUCCUAGAACCCACUCUCCCCAAAGGCGAGUUUCCCAGAGGAAAUGACAUUUGAAGAGAGACUAAAGGAUGAGAAAAAGACAGCCUUCCUGGAAGAGGAAACAGCAAAUGCAAAAACUCUGAGUUAGGAAAGAACUUGAUGCACUUGAGAAACAAAAAGAAGGCCGGCAAGACUGAAAUCCACAUAAGUCAGACCCGGGCACAGCAAACUGGACGUCCUCAGUAUAUAUGUGGCAACUGAAACCAGGCAUUUAGGACAUGAUCUCAUUCUGUUGCCCAGGGUGAGUGCAGUGGCACCUUCAUGGCUCAUUGCAGUCUCGAUCUCCCAGGCUCAAGCGAUCCUCCCACCUCAGCCUCCCAAAGUGCUGGGAUUGCAGGCGUGAGCCACCUUGCCCAGCCCAUUCUGCAAUCUUCGGAAGGAAGUCACUAUAUGCAGCCUAUGCUUGAGGAGUGGGGAGUUGAAUUCCACAUCCUUGAGGGCAGAAUACCUAAAUAAAUUAUUUGGAAUUCUUCU
Molecule: long non-coding RNA, 517 nt
Filed under: Homo sapiens (human)
Lineage: Eukaryota; Metazoa; Chordata; Mammalia; Primates; Hominidae
Description: SLC26A4 antisense RNA 1
Source: RNAcentral